UUUCCCGGGCUCUUAGCCAAACGCCGGGAAACUUUAGCUUGACGGCUUUUGUCGAUUAAAAUGUCUCUUUUUUUUCUUUUCUUUUCUUUUCACUCCGACCACUCAUAUGCUCGGUUUACUUGUUUUAAUUUCUUUUAUUUCUGUUGUUUUUCCGCCUCCCUCACCUACUGCGCCGACAUAAAAAGAAAAGUAUCUACACUUGACGACCACCGAGGAAAAAUGUUCUCUGAACAUUCCCUAAUUGUUUGAAGUACAAAAACGACAAUAUAUAUAUGAAAAGUUUCUAAAAUAGUCCCAGCGUUAUGGACCUGUAUUCGAGCUCAAUGUGCGGCAUCACGUCCUUCGUUACCAGCCCAGAGACGUCAAGGUACAGUCAAUUUGUUACAAAUGAGCAAAUAUUUAAACCACUAUCGAGUUUUUUAGGUUUGAAAAGUUCUCCUAUCCACUUACAAGUCCUGUAGCUCAAAAAUGGAUUUGCACCAAGACUAUUGAUGCUCUAAUAACCCCAAACACGCUUUUAAGAUUUGAAAAGGUCACAAAUGUGUGCGAGAGUAAAUUACACAAAUAAACCUUUAUUAAAAUCACAAACAUGAAGCAAAAAUACAAUGUAAAAGAACCUGAUCCACAAUCAAAAUAUUUACACCUUUCAAAAAGUCAGAUAACAAUGUUUACCAACCGGCGUGGUUAUAAGGAGCAAAGAACAUGAUGAGCUAACCUGACUUGAACUCUAAGCAGACAUGUUUGAGGCACUGAUCAAAAACAACAUACUUUUAAAUAAAAUAAAAGACAAAAUACCACUAUAUUUGGAAGUCGCCCUUGGAAGGCCGUUUUAAAGUUCUGGGGGUUUUCUUCCGCCAGUCGCCAUUUUGUCCACUCGCUCACGCUCGGAAUCCUUCGCCGUUUAUUGGACCCCGUAUGGCUCCGGUGACAAUUUUGGCUCUCCUCCGGGCAUUACUUGAGCACGCCAGGUAGAAGACCUCCACCACGUUGAGAAGCACCGACACGCAGGACAUGGCCAGCA
Syngnathus acus (greater pipefish) is the source of this 1021-nucleotide long non-coding RNA. RefSeq lists it as uncharacterized. The transcript is spliced from 3 exons. Lineage: Eukaryota; Metazoa; Chordata; Actinopteri; Syngnathiformes; Syngnathidae. The record is from RefSeq and is a predicted model, not a curated record.